RNAcentral lists this unclassified non-coding RNA (373 nucleotides) under uncultured fungus. RNAcentral's name for it is "sequence contains ITS1". The stretch from base 1 to 105 matches the Rfam family "5.8S ribosomal RNA", at positions 50 to 154 of the family's 154-position model. The record is from RNAcentral. Lineage: Eukaryota; Fungi.
GAAAUGCGAUAAGUAAUGUGAAUUGCAGAAUUCAGUGAAUCAUCGAAUCUUUGAACGCACAUUGCGCUCUUUGGUAUUCCGGAGAGCAUGCCUGUUUGAGUAUCAGUAAACCCCCUCACAUCAAACAUUCGUGUUUGAACGUGGAAUUGAGGCUUCCCAGUCCCUAAGAUUGGGUGUCUCGAAAUUGAUGAAAGAGUCAGGAAAGUACUUGACGAAAAGUGUGUUAAAACGUCCUCAAGGGCAAUAUAUCGCUUAUUAAUCUAGUCUUUCCAAUUAAUGGCACUUCUACCGCUAUAAUAACUUCAAGGCAAAUUUAUUUUUGACUUGUCGUGUUCUUGAUCUCAAAUCAGGUAAGAGUACCCGCUGAACUUAA